Molecule: unclassified non-coding RNA, 418 nt
Filed under: fungal sp.
Lineage: Eukaryota; Fungi
Description: partial internal transcribed spacer region
Rfam family: Eukaryotic small subunit ribosomal RNA (bases 1-46)
Source: RNAcentral
AAGUCGUAACAAGGUUUCCGUAGGUGAACCUGCGGAAGGAUCAUUAACACGUAUCCACGUAUCAACCAAAUGCGAACUUGUUUUCACCUACCCUGGAUUAGCACAUGAGGAGGAAAAGCUAGGAAGACUACUGAGUGGGACGCUUGCGUCCGGUCUUUCUAAAAUUACUUGACGUUGGCGCAAGCCUUCAUCGUACUUCUGCAGUGUUAAAACAGGACCACACCAUCUCGUCUCUAACAAUCUCCAUUCAAGAUUGUCAUUGAUGGGAGCCACCAUUAAAACCUAUUUCACCCCCUUUUUGCUAGUUGACUUUUUAUAUGUUGUUUAUUGUGACGAUUUAAUUAUCGCAACAGUACUCACACGUUUAUUUACUUGAACGUUAAAAAUACAACUCUUAGCAAUGGAUAUCUUGGUUCUC